This 250-nucleotide ribosomal RNA is filed under the name uncultured bacterium. RNAcentral describes it as "partial 16S ribosomal RNA". It matches the Rfam family "Bacterial small subunit ribosomal RNA", at positions 524 to 773 of the family's 1533-position model. The record is from RNAcentral.
UACAGAGGUGCCAAGCGUUGUUCGGAUUUACUGGGCGUAAAGGGUGCGUAGGCGGUCGCGCAAGUCGGGCGUGAAAUCCCGGGGCCCAACCCCGGAACGGCGCUCGAAACUGCGCGGCUCGAGGCCUGGAGAGGUGACUGGAAUUCUCGGUGUAGCAGUGAAAUGCGUAGAUAUCGAGAGGAACGCCAGAGGCGAAAGCGGGUCACUGGACAGAGCCUGACGCUGAGGCACGAAAGCCAGGGGAGCAAAC